This is a long non-coding RNA of Monodelphis domestica (gray short-tailed opossum), 416 nucleotides long. The record is from Ensembl. NCBI's taxonomy places the organism in Eukaryota, Metazoa, Chordata, Mammalia, Didelphimorphia, Didelphidae.
AAAAAAUGUAGACAUGAAAGAAUAAUCAUAAGGACUCAAGAUUUUUCUCCCUCUUUCCUUCUACUAUCUCCUUGUGACAUGCAACACAUUAUUUUCAGGAUUCCUUUCUCUCCAUUUCCAAAAUCCAAUGAAGAAGAAAAUGGAGUUUGGGUAUCGGUGUUGUCAGGCUGAAAAAUAACCUGUACUGAGGACGGAAAACAGCUAAGGCCUCCACCACUUAUGCUAAUGUUGUUACAACCUAUAUGGGCCUUCCAUUGAAAAGAAGCUAGCACAUUGUUCAAUUCCCCAGGUUGCGGAAACAAGAUGUCAGCAAUACAGGAUUAGAAACACCUACCUGGUGAGUAAACACUUUGAUUUUUCUAGAAAAACAAAAUGAAACAAAACCAUAUACUCUUUCCUCAGAAAAUCUUAAUUAA